CUCCACCUACCUCAACCCCAAGCCCACCAUCAUUCCCUCCUCUGCCCGCACCCUAUCCCCACCCAUAACCUACGCCACCGCCUCCAGCAGCCGCCGCCCAAUCAUCAAGUGCCACCUUUCAUCGCCUUCUUCUUCCUCUUCCUCACCCCUUUCCCAAAACCCUAAACCCUCCUCCACCCACCUCAAAACCCUCUCCAAAGCCCUUGCAGCAGCGUCCACAGUCACCCUUAUCUUCAAUUUAGGAUCUUUCAACGGAAACGGCAAUUCCGGCGGCGGAGGAGGUGGGUUUGGGGGCGGAGGCGGUGGAGGCGGAGAUGGGUUCGGU
This 325-nucleotide long non-coding RNA is filed under the name Prunus persica (peach). RNAcentral's name for it is "long non-coding RNA (PPER_LNC005656)". The record is from RNAcentral. Lineage: Eukaryota; Viridiplantae; Streptophyta; Magnoliopsida; Rosales; Rosaceae.